GACGAACGCUGGCGGCGUGCCUAAUACAUGCAAGUAGAACGCUGAAGAGAGGAGCUUGCUCUUCUUGGAUGAGUUGCGAACGGGUGAGUAACGCGUAGGUAACCUGCCUUGUAGCGGGGGAUAACUAUUGGAAACGAUAGCUAAUACCGCAUAACAAUGGAUGACCCAUGUCAUUUAUUUGAAAGGGGCAAAUGCUCCACUACAAGAUGGACCUGCGUUGUAUUAGCUAGUAGGUGAGGUAACGGCUCACCUAGGCGACGAUACAUAGCCGACCUGAGAGGGUGAUCGGCCACCCUGGGACUGAGACACGGCCCAGACUCCUACGGGAGGCAGCAGUAGGGAAUCUUCGGCAAUGGGGGCAACCCUGACCGAGCAACGCCGCGUGAGUGAAGAAGGUUUUCGGAUCGUAAAGCUCUGUUGUAAGUCAAGAACGAGUGUGAGAGUGGAAAGUUCACACUGUGACGGUAGCUUACCAGAAAGGGACGGCUAACUACGUG
This 497-nucleotide ribosomal RNA is filed under the name uncultured bacterium. RNAcentral describes it as "partial 16S ribosomal RNA". It matches the Rfam family "Bacterial small subunit ribosomal RNA", at positions 28 to 507 of the family's 1533-position model. The record is from RNAcentral.